GUGGGGAAUAUUGGACAAUGGGCGCAAGCCUGAUCCAGCAAUGCCGCGUGUGUGAAGAAGGUCUUCGGAUCGUAAAGCACUUUCGACGGGGACGAUGAUGACGGUACCCGUAGAAGAAGCCCCGGCUAACUUCGUGCCAGCAGCCGCGGUAAUACGAAGGGGGCUAGCGUUGCUCGGAAUUACUGGGCGUAAAGGGCUCGUAGGCGGCUCUGUUAGUCAGGCGUGAAAUUCCUGGGCUUAACAUGGGGACUGCGUUUGAUACUGCAGGGCUUGAGACCGAGAGAGUGUGGUGGAAUUCCCAGUGUAGAGGUGAAAUUCGUAGAUAUUGGGAAGAACACCGGUGGCGAAGGCGACCACCUGGCUCGGUACUGACGCUGAGGCGCGACAGCGUGGGGAGCAAACAGGAUUGGAUACCCUAGUAGUCC
This 425-nucleotide ribosomal RNA is filed under the name uncultured bacterium. RNAcentral describes it as "partial 16S ribosomal RNA". It matches the Rfam family "Bacterial small subunit ribosomal RNA", at positions 354 to 796 of the family's 1533-position model. The record is from RNAcentral.